AUCUUCUGUUUCCUUUUACUCUGUAUGUGAGUUGGUCGAUAAUGGCUACAUCUGUGUUCCCAGAGGAAAUGUUAACCAUGCGGUAUAUAAAUGGGGAAAAUCCAUGCAGGUUAAAGGGGUGCAAAUACCGAUAUAGGGGAUUUGGAGCAAUAUGUCCAGGCUGUAAAAAGGUCUAUCAUGUUGAGUGCACAGAAAUAGGUGAUCAAGAAAUAUACGAUGGAUUGGGCAAGUACCAGCAGCUGUGGAGAUGUGAUAUGUGUGUCGAUGUGUUUUCCAAAGAGAAUAAAGCAGUGAUAAAAAAGAUUACUCAGUUGCAAUUAAAAGAAAUUUUGUCUGAACAAAGGAAGAUUACCCAGUUGCAAUUAAAAUAAAUUUUGUCUGAACAAAGGGAAAGUGGACAGCAAUUAGAGAAAUUAAAUUACGAUUUAUCCUUGUCAAUGACGAGAGUAGGAAAUAAUUUGGAUAAAAUGGUCCAGAUAAUGGAGAAAGUCACAGAAGACUAAGUUUUUGUUGACAAACCAUAUACAGUAUACAGUAAUAAUCACUUUCAUAAGCGUUUUAUGUUCCGUGAAUGAAAACUUUUAUCUUCUGGCAAAUCUCACAGUCAAUGAAGAUUGACAAGUCGUAUGCAAGGUCUUCCAAGCUGCUCUCCUCUUCAUAGUUCUACUCCAGAUGUCUUCUGUUCUUGGCCAGUACUACAUGCCUGUCCCAGUACCAGUUCCAGUGCCUCAACCAUAUGGUUAUGGGGGUUACGGGGGCUACAGUGGAGGUGGACUUCCAUAUGGUGGAUAUUCUAAUCCUAUAGGGGGGUAUUCCCGUACCAGUGUGAUUGAAAGAAGAGGAGGUAUUUUGGGUUAAAUAUCGCUUUAAACGUUACUAUGGACAAUACUUAUUUUAUUUUGGAAACUAUACACCUAUAUUUGGGAUCAUACAUUUUAUUUUAUAUUUGGGAAACUUUAUGUUAUUUUUUAACAAUUAUUCAACUUAUUAUUGUUAUAUUUCUAUAUUACACUUGAUUUGCUAUGUUAUCAUUUACAAGAUGUAUCUCGCAUUAUUGUAUUGUAAUAAACUUAUUCUAUCAUGAAA
RNA transcript from Macrosteles quadrilineatus (aster leafhopper), 1086 nucleotides. It is a transcript of the gene named prisilkin-39-like, with no coding region annotated. NCBI's taxonomy places the organism in Eukaryota, Metazoa, Arthropoda, Insecta, Hemiptera, Cicadellidae. The record is from RefSeq and is a predicted model, not a curated record. The transcript has 2 exons.